This 119-nucleotide ribosomal RNA is filed under the name Arabis alpina (gray rockcress). The record is from RNAcentral. Lineage: Eukaryota; Viridiplantae; Streptophyta; Magnoliopsida; Brassicales; Brassicaceae.
GGGUGCGAUCAUAGCAGCACUAAUGCACCGGAUCCCAUCAGAACUCCGCAGCUAAGCGUGCUUGGGCGAGAGUAGUACUAGGAUGGGUGACCUCCUGGGAAGUCCUCGUGUUGCACCCC